RNAcentral lists this ribosomal RNA (440 nucleotides) under uncultured bacterium. RNAcentral describes it as "partial 16S ribosomal RNA". It matches the Rfam family "Bacterial small subunit ribosomal RNA", at positions 338 to 795 of the family's 1533-position model. The record is from RNAcentral.
CCUACGGGAGGCAGCAGUGGGGAAUAUUGCACAAUGGGGGAAACCCUGAUGCAGCGACGCCGCGUGAGUGAAGAAGUAUUUCGGUAUGUAAAGCUCUAUCAGCAGGGAAGAAAAUGACGGUACCUGACUAAGAAGCCCCGGCUAACUACGUGCCAGCAGCCGCGGUAAUACGUAGGGGGCAAGCGUUAGCCGGAUUUACUGGGUGUAACGGGAGCGUAGACGGCCAGACAAGUCAGAAGUGAAAGCACAGGGCAAAACCCUGGGAAUGCUUUUGAAACUGCCGGGCUGGAGUGCAGGAGAGGUAGGGAGAAUUCCGGGGGUAGCGGUGAAAUGCGGAGAUAUUAGGAGGAAUACCAGUGGCGAAGGCGGCUGACUGGACUGUAACUGACGUUGAGGUUCGAAAGCGUGGGGAGAAAACAGGAUUAGAUACCCCAGUAGUC